RNAcentral lists this ribosomal RNA (253 nucleotides) under uncultured prokaryote. Its description in RNAcentral is "partial 16S ribosomal RNA". It matches the Rfam family "Bacterial small subunit ribosomal RNA", at positions 524 to 776 of the family's 1533-position model. The record is from RNAcentral.
UACGUAGGCAGCAAGCGUUGUUCGGAGUUACUGGGCGUAAAGAGUGCGUAGGCGGUUUUCUAAGUUCGGUGUGAAAUCUCCCGGCUUAACUGGGAGGGUGCGCCGAAGACUGGGGAGCUGGAGUGUGGGAAAGGCAAGCGGAAUUCCUGGUGUAGCGGUGAAAUGCGUAGAUAUCAGGAGGAACACCGGCGGUGUAGACGGCUUGCUAGACCAUAACUGACGCUGAGGCACGAAAGCGUGGGUAGCAAACAGG